Molecule: ribosomal RNA, 500 nt
Filed under: uncultured bacterium
Lineage: Bacteria
Description: partial 16S ribosomal RNA
Rfam family: Bacterial small subunit ribosomal RNA
Source: RNAcentral
AUUGAACGCUGGCGGCAGGCCUAACACAUGCAAGUCGAGCGGCAGCGGGUCCUUCGGGAUGCCGGCGAGCGGCGGACGGGUGAGUAAUGCCUAGGAAUCUGCCUGGUAGUGGGGGAUAACGUUCGGAAACGGACGCUAAUACCGCAUACGUCCUACGGGAGAAAGUGGGGGAUCUUCGGACCUCACGCUACCAGAUGAGCCUAGGUCGGAUUAGCUAGUUGGUGGGGUAAAGGCUAACCAAGGCGACGAUCCGUAACUGGUCUGAGAGGAUGAUCAGUCACACUGGAACUGAGACACGGUCCAGACUCCUACGGGAGGCAGCAGUGGGGAAUAUUGGACAAUGGGCGAAAGCCUGAUCCAGCCAUGCCGCGUGUGUGAAGAAGGUCUUCGGAUUGUAAAGCACUUUAAGUUGGGAGGAAGGGCAGUAAGUUAAUACCUUGCUGUUUUGACGUUACCAACAGAAUAAGCACCGGCUAACUUCGUGCCAGCAGCCGCCGUAA